GAUGAACGCUGGCGGCGUGCUUAACACAUGCAAGUCGAACGAUGAAGCCCAGCUUGCUGGGUGGAUUAGUGGCGAACGGGUGAGUAACACGUGAGUAACCUGCCCUUAACUCUGGGAUAAGCCUGGGCAACUGGGUCUAAUACAGGCUAGGAGCGUUCACCGCCCGGUGGGUGUUGGAGAGAUUUAUCGGUUUUGGAUGGACUCGCGGCCUAUCCGCUCGUUGGUGAGGUAAUGGCUAACCAAGGCGACGACAGGUAGCCGGCCUGAGAGGGUGACCGGCCACACUGGGACUGAGAGACGGCCCAGACGCCUACGGGAGGCAGCAGUGGGGAAUAUUGCACAAUGGGCGCAAGCCUGAUGCAGCGACGCCGCGUGAGGGAUGACGGCCUUCGAGUUGUAAACCUCUUUCAGUAGGGAAGAAGCGAAAGUGACGGUACCUGCAGAAGAAGCACCGGCUAACUACGUG
This 466-nucleotide ribosomal RNA is filed under the name uncultured bacterium. Its description in RNAcentral is "partial 16S ribosomal RNA". It matches the Rfam family "Bacterial small subunit ribosomal RNA", at positions 28 to 507 of the family's 1533-position model. The record is from RNAcentral.